GAGAUGGUGCAGUGGGUUAGUGUGUCUGGCUUUUAACCAGAAGGUUGGUGGUUCGAGCCCACCCAGGGAUU
Molecule: non-coding RNA, 71 nt
Organism: Podarcis lilfordi (Lilford's wall lizard)
Lineage: Eukaryota; Metazoa; Chordata; Lepidosauria; Squamata; Lacertidae
Source: the annotation of a GenBank genome assembly